RNAcentral lists this ribosomal RNA (253 nucleotides) under uncultured bacterium. Its description in RNAcentral is "partial 16S ribosomal RNA". It matches the Rfam family "Bacterial small subunit ribosomal RNA", at positions 524 to 776 of the family's 1533-position model. The record is from RNAcentral.
UACGAAGGGUGCUAGCGUUGUUCGGAAUUACUGGGCGUAAAGCGCGCGUAGGCGGCUUAGCAAGUCAGGGGUGAAAUCCCACAGCUCAACUGUGGAAUUGCCUUUGAAACUGCUAAGCUUGAGUGUCGGAGGGGAUAGCGGAAUUGCUAAUGUAGAGGUGAAAUUCGUAGAUAUUGGCAGGAACACCGGUGGCGAAGGCGGCUAUCUGGACGACAACUGACGCUGAGGCGCGAAAGCGUGGGGAUCAAACAGG